AUUGAACGCUGGCGGCAGGCCUAACACAUGCAAGUCGAGCGGAUGAAGGGAGCUUGCUCCUGGAUUCAGCGGCGGACGGGUGAGUAAUGCCUAGGAAUCUGCCUGGUAGUGGGGGAUAACGUCCGGAAACGGGCGCUAAUACCGCAUACGUCCUGAGGGAGAAAGUGGGGGAUCUUCGGACCUCACGCUAUCUGAUGAGCCUAGGUCGGAUUAGCUAGUUGGAUGGGUAAAGGCCUACCAAGGCGACGAUCCGUAACUGGUCUGAGAGGAUGAUCAGUCACACUGGAACUGAGACACGGUCCAGACUCCUACGGGAGGCAGCAGUGGGGAAUAUUGGACAAUGGGCGAAAGCCUGAUCCAGCCAUGCCGCGUGUGUGAAGAAGGUCUUCGGAUUGUAAAGCACUUUAAGUUGGGAGGAAGGGCAGUAAGUUAAUACCUGGCUGUUUUGACGUUACCAACAGAAUAAGCACCGGCUAACUUCGUG
This 484-nucleotide ribosomal RNA is filed under the name uncultured bacterium. RNAcentral's name for it is "partial 16S ribosomal RNA". It matches the Rfam family "Bacterial small subunit ribosomal RNA", at positions 30 to 507 of the family's 1533-position model. The record is from RNAcentral.